RNAcentral lists this ribosomal RNA (154 nucleotides) under Monopterus albus (swamp eel). RNAcentral's name for it is "5.8S ribosomal RNA (ENSMALG00000012690.1)". It matches the Rfam family "5.8S ribosomal RNA". From Rfam's summary of the family: 5.8S ribosomal RNA (5.8S rRNA) is a component of the large subunit of the eukaryotic ribosome. It is transcribed by RNA polymerase I as part of the 45S precursor that also contains 18S and 28S rRNA. Lineage: Eukaryota; Metazoa; Chordata; Actinopteri; Synbranchiformes; Synbranchidae. The record is from RNAcentral.
AACUCUUAGUGGUGGAUCACUUGGCUCGUGCGUCGAUGAAGAACACAGCUAGCUGUGCAAAGUAAUGUGAAUUGCAGGACACAUUGAUCACUGACACUUCAAAUGCGCCUUGCGGCCCCAGGUUCCCCCCGGGGCUGUGCCUGUCUGAGGGGAU